ACCCAAGUUGCUUGGAAUACCUUGUCAUAGAGGGUGACAACCCCGUCUGGCUAACCGUUCUCCAUGUAUUGCCUUAUCAAAGAGUCGAGUUGUUUGGGAAUGCAGCUCAAAGUGGGUGGUAAACUCCAUCUAAAGCUAAAUACUGGUGAGAGACCGAUAGCGAACAAGUACUGUGAAGGAAAGGUGAAAAGAACUUUGAAAAGAGAGUGAAAUAGUAUGUGAAAUUGUUGAUAGGGAAGGAAAUGAGUGGAGAGUGGCCGAGGUUUCAGCCGCCCCUCGUGGGCGGUGUACUGCCGACGCCGAGUCAUCGAUA
Molecule: ribosomal RNA, 313 nt
Filed under: Yarrowia lipolytica
Lineage: Eukaryota; Fungi; Ascomycota; Dipodascomycetes; Dipodascales
Description: eukaryotic LSU rRNA
Rfam family: Eukaryotic large subunit ribosomal RNA
Source: RNAcentral